RNAcentral lists this ribosomal RNA (429 nucleotides) under Chloroflexota bacterium. RNAcentral's name for it is "Chloroflexi bacterium partial 16S ribosomal RNA". It matches the Rfam family "Bacterial small subunit ribosomal RNA", at positions 355 to 776 of the family's 1533-position model. Lineage: Bacteria; Bacillati; Chloroflexota. RNAcentral also lists the same sequence under 1 other name. The record is from RNAcentral.
UGGGGAAUAUUGCACAAUGGGCGCAAGCCUGAUGCAGCCAUGCCGCGUGUAUGAAGAAGGCCUUCGGGUUGUAAAGUACUUUCAGCGGGGAGGAAGGGAGUAAAGUUAAUACCUUUGCUCAUUGACGUUACCCGCAGAAGAAGCACCGGCUAACUCCGUGCCAGCAGCCGCGGUAAUACGGAGGGUGCAAGCGUUAAUCGGAAUUACUGGGCGUAAAGCGCACGCUGGCGGUUUGUUAAGUCAGAUGUGAAAUCCCCGGGCUCAACCUGGGAACUGCAUCUGAUACUGGCAAGCUUGAGUCUCGUAGAGGGGGGUAGAAUUCCAGGUGUAGCGGUGAAAUGCGUAGAGAUCUGGAGGAAUACCGGUGGCGAAGGCGGCCCCCUGGACGAAGACUGACGCUCAGGUGCGAAAGCGUGGGGAGCAAACAGG